This 255-nucleotide ribosomal RNA is filed under the name uncultured bacterium. RNAcentral describes it as "partial 16S ribosomal RNA". It matches the Rfam family "Bacterial small subunit ribosomal RNA", at positions 524 to 776 of the family's 1533-position model. The record is from RNAcentral.
UACGAAGGGGGGCUAGCGUUGCUCGGAAUCACUGGGCGUAAAGCGCACGUAGGCGGCUUUCUAAGUCAGGGGUGAAAUCCUGGAGCUCAACUCCAGAACUGCCUUUGAUACUGGAGUGCUUGAGUCCGGGAGAGGUGAGUGGAACUCCGAGUGUAGAGGUGAAAUUCGUAUGAUAUUCGGAAGAACACCAGUGGCGAAGGCGGCUCACUGGCCCGGUACUGACGCUGAUGUGCGAAAGCGUGGGGAGCAAACAGG